Melopsittacus undulatus (budgerigar) is the source of this 319-nucleotide long non-coding RNA. RefSeq lists it as uncharacterized. The record is from RefSeq and is a predicted model, not a curated record. The transcript has 3 exons. NCBI's taxonomy places the organism in Eukaryota, Metazoa, Chordata, Aves, Psittaciformes, Psittaculidae.
CCUCCCUCCCAGCCCUCCGAUCUGGACAGAGUUGCAUAAGGAUCACCUAACAGUGUCUUCAAAUCCUGAGUGGCUUCUUGCUGCCAAAUAGAGCAUGGCAAGCCCCCUCCCCACCCCAAAGACUCACCUUCCAUGCAGUAUUGAACAGCUAACCAUGGUGAGAUGUGGCUGAGAUUUGUGGACAAACAGACAGGAAGGACUGCUUCUCCUUCUCUUGGAAGGAUGCUUCACCUGCCCCACAGUCACUAUGUGCAUGUAAGACUUGAAAAUUCGCAAGUUACAGUUGAAUGUAAUUAUUAAAGAUGUUUUAACAGGUGAU